UUGCUCCCGGUUGGGGACGUCUGUUGGAGUUACCAAUGAAAGACGACAAGUUCGGGAUUGGGUAUCAACCAGCGCUGACUUCUACAACUUCAACACUUCAGACUCGUCAGGGGACGAUUACUUUCUCCAGUGUUGGCGUCAUCCAAUAUGGCCAGAUCUCGGCGAUCAACGAUGAAGAUGGGGAUAGUGAUUGCAACAUCGACAACUGGGUGCGCCCGAGGAUCCCGGGUGAAGUCA
This 237-nucleotide long non-coding RNA is filed under the name Lathyrus oleraceus (garden pea). RNAcentral describes it as "Pisum sativum (pea) long non-coding RNA (PSAT_LNC039963)". The record is from RNAcentral. Lineage: Eukaryota; Viridiplantae; Streptophyta; Magnoliopsida; Fabales; Fabaceae.